Molecule: ribosomal RNA, 405 nt
Filed under: uncultured bacterium
Lineage: Bacteria
Description: bacterial SSU rRNA
Rfam family: Bacterial small subunit ribosomal RNA
Source: RNAcentral
UGGGGAAUAUUGCGCAAUGGGGGAAACCCUGACGCAGCAACGCCGCGUGAAGGAUGAAGGCCCUUGGGUUGUAAACUUCUUUGGUCGGGGACGAAUAAUGACGGUACCCGAAGAACAAGCCACGGCUAACUACGUGCCAGCAGCCGCGGUAAUACGUAGGUGGCGAGCGUUGUCCGGAUUUACUGGGUGUAAAGGGCGUGUAGGCGGGAAAUUAAGUCAGAUGUGAAAUUCCGAGGCUCAACCUCGGCGCUGCAUCUGAAACUAAUUUUCUUGAGUACUGGAGAGGAAAGCGGAAUUCCUAGUGUAGCGGUGAAAUGCGUAGAUAUUAGGAGGAACACCAGUGGCGAAGGCGGCUUUCUGGACAGUAACUGACGCUGAGGCGCGAAAGCGUGGGGAGCAAACAGG